AGGCCGAGCUGAGGGUGGGGGGUGGAGAGCUGGGAGUUGUCAGCGGAGAGCGUGGGGUUCGCUGUUUUGGCCGGAUGCGGAGCUGGCAACUCCGGCUGACUUAAGCUGGCGGGCAAAGGGCAAUCUCUGAGCUCCCGGCGCUCCAGGAGCAGCCUCUUUUGUAGAAGCAUCUGAAAUGCAGGGUCUGGUGCACUAAGCAAUAGCGACAACACCAGCUCCAGCGACAGCUCUGGGGCCCUGUGUAGGAGCUCCAUCCCCUUGUCUUUGUGUCCGCCUGCGUCCCCAGACCCAGAGGUUAUCUUGGAAGAUCUAGGACUCCGAAAAUGUUUCCCUUGAAGGAUGCCGAAAUGGGUGCCUUUACCUUCUUUGCCUCUGCUCUGCCACAUGAUGUUUGUGGAAGCAACGGGCUUCCUCUCACACCAAAUUCCAUCAAAAUUUUAGGGCGCUUUCAAAUCCUUAAGACCAUCACCCACCCCAGACUGUGCCAGUAUGUGGAUAUUUCUCGGGGAAAGCAUGAGAGACUGGUGGUGGUGGCUGAACACUGUGAACAGAGUCUAGAAGACUUGCUUCGAGAAGGGAAACCUGUGAGAUAUUCAAAGGUUUUGUGCAUAGCAUUUGAGAUACUUCAGGGCUUGCAGUAUAUGAACAAACAUGGUAUAGUACACCGGGCACUGUCUCCUCAUAAUAUCCUUUUGGAUCAAAAGGGACAUGUUAAAUUGGCUAAAUUUGGACUUUAUCACAUGACAGCAUAUGGUGAUGAUGUUGAUUUCCCAAUUGGGUAUCCAUCAUACUUGGCACCUGAGGUAAUUGCACAAGGAAUUUUCAAAACCAAUGAUCAUGUGCCAAGUGAGAAACCAUUGCCUUCUGGCCCCAAAUCAGAUGUGUGGUCUCUUGGAAUCAUUUUAUUUGAGCUUUGUGUGGGAAGAAAACUAUUUCAGAGUUUGGAUAUUUCUGAAAGACUAAAAUUUUUGCUUACACUGGACUGCAUAGAUGACACUAUAGUAGUUCUGGCUGAAGAGCAUGGUUGUCUGGACAUUAUAAAGGAGCUUCCUGAAAAUGUGAUAGAUCUUUUGAAGAAGUGCCUCACCUUCCACCCUUCUAAAAGGCCAACCCCAGAUGAAUUAAUGCAGGACAAUGUGUUCAGUGAAGUGUCACCUUUAUACACUCCCUUUACCAAACCUACCAGCCUGUUUUCUUCUUCUCUGAGAUGUGCUGAUUUAACUCUGCCUGAGGAUAUCAGUCAGCUGUGUAAAGAUAUAAGCAGUGAUUACCUGGCAGAAAGAUCUAUUGAAGAAGUGUAUUACCUUUGGUGUUUAGCUGGAGGUGACUUGGAAAAAGAGCUUGUGAACAAGGAAAUCAUUCGAUCCAAACCACCUAUCUGCACACUCCCCAAUUUUCUCUUUGAAGAUGGUGAAAGCUUUGGACAAGGUCGAGAUAGAAGCUCACUAUUAGAUGACACCACUGUGACAUUGUCAUUAUGCCAGCUAAGAAAUAGAUUAAAAGAUGUUGAUGGAGAAGCAUUUUACCCACUACUUGAAGAUGAUCAGUCUAAUUUACCUCAUUCAAACAGCAAUAAUGAGCUGUCUGCAGCUGCCACUCUCCCUUUAAUCAUCCGAGAGAGGGACACAGAGUACCAACUAAACAGAAUCAUUCUCUUUGACAGGCUGCUAAAGGCUUAUCCAUAUAAAAAAAAUCAAAUCUGGAAAGAAGCAAGAGUCGACAUUCCUCCUCUUAUGAGAGGUUUCACCUGGGCUGCUCUUCUGGGAGUUGAGGGGGCUAUUCAUGCCAAGUAUGAUGCAAUUGAUAAAGAUACUCCAAUUCCUACAGAUAGACAAAUUGAAGUGGAUAUUCCUCGUUGUCAUCAGUAUGAUGAACUGCUGUCAUCACCAGAAGGUCAUGCAAAAUUUAGGCGUGUAUUAAAAGCCUGGGUCGUGUCUCAUCCUGAUCUUGUGUAUUGGCAAGGUCUUGACUCACUUUGUGCUCCAUUUCUGUAUUUAAAUUUCAAUAAUGAAGCCUUGGCUUAUGCCUGUAUGUCUGCUUUUAUCCCCAAAUACCUGUAUAACUUCUUCUUGAAAGACAACUCGCAUGUAAUACAAGAGUAUCUGACUGUAUUCUCUCAGAUGAUUGCAUUCCAUGAUCCAGAGCUAAGCAAUCAUCUCAAUGAAAUUGGAUUUAUUCCAGAUCUCUAUGCCAUCCCUUGGUUUCUCACCAUGUUUACUCAUGUAUUUCCACUGCACAAAAUUUUCCACCUCUGGGAUACCUUAUUGCUUGGGAAUUCCUCCUUCCCAUUCUGUAUCGGAGUAGCAAUUCUUCAGCAGCUGCGUGACCGGCUUUUGUCUAAUGGCUUUAAUGAGUGCAUUCUUCUCUUCUCUGAUUUACCAGAAAUUGACAUUGAACGUUGUGUGCGAGAAUCAAUCAACCUGUUUUGUUGGACUCCUAAAAGUGCUACUUACAGACAGCAUGCUCAACCUCCAAAGCCAACUUCUGAUAGCAGUGGAGUCAGAAGUUCAACACCUUAUUUCUCCACUGAGUGUCCAGAUCCUCCAAAAACAGAUCUGUCAAGAGAAUCCAUUCCAUUAAAUGACCUAAAGUCAGAAGUAUCACCCCGGAUUUCAGCAGAGGACCUGAUUGACUUGUGUGAGCUUACAGUGACAGGCCACUUCAAAACACCCACCAAGAAGACAAAGUCCAGUAAGCCAAAGCUCCUGGUAGUUGACAUCCGGAAUAGUGAAGAUUUUAUUCGGGGUCACAUUUCAGGCAGCAUCAAUAUUCCAUUCAGCACUGCGUUUACUGCGGAAGGGGAGCUUACCCAAGGGCCUUACACUGCCAUGCUCCAGAGCUUCAAAGGGAAGGUCGUUGUCAUCGUGGGGAAUGUGGCAAAGCACACGGCAGAGUUUGCGGCUCAUCUUGUGAAGAUGAAAUAUCCAAGAAUCUGUAUUCUAGAUGGUGGCAUUAAUAAGCUCAAGCCAACAGGCCUCCUCACUGUCCCAUCCCCUCAAAUAUGAAGAACAGGAGUCUGGCUGUCAAAAGGACAGAGUGGCAUCACCCCCAGCAGCACAGCUCUUCACAGCCUUGCCACUCUAAGGCAGAACUAGACUUCCAGAUUGUUACAUUUCCAUUUCAAGUUUUGUCAUGAGACAUUUUAUUUUUAAUCUCAUGACCGAAAUGUUCAGCUAUCCAGGCAACAAACUUGACUGUACAUGUAUUCCUGAAAGAAUUUUCUUAACAAUGAAAUCCGAUCACGUAUUUUUACCACACCAACGCAAAGCCAGAAGAAUUCAACUGACGAGGCAGAUUUAGCAUUAUCAAGAAGUCUCAGUUACACUGAAAAGGCUGUCUUCCAUUGCACUGAACAGACAGUCCUAACAAAGGCACCAGGCUCGAAGAAUUGGAAAAAAGUCCUUGUAUCAGCCUCCCAGUCAAGUGUGGAAAGCCGAAGAGGGGGACUAACAAGGAGACAAGGUGGUUAGCUAGUUUCUAGGUCUAUUAAUCAUACAAGAGAAGAAACAGAGGUCAGUUAGGUCACUUGCUAACUUAAAAAAAAAUUACUUUUAUGCCUGAGAUAAACAAUCCUGAUAAUUUAUUACUUGUCAGAUAUCAUAUCUUUUCUAAAAUUAUCUUUAAGAUCAUUAAUAAUCCCAUGUACCUUGCAUUCAUCACUAUAGACUCCAUAUAGGGUCAUUAAGGACCUGAAAGGCAUGUGAGGAAUAUGACCACUGGAUUGAGGCCAAAUGACAUGGGGGGUAAUUUGCAUACUAAUGCACAACCAAGAAAGAGAAUCUUUUUUUUAAUGGGUAAUGAGGAUUAAAAACAAUCUCUGCACUCACAAAUCAUCGUUAAUUAUGUAUACAAGAUUACAGGAUAAAGAAUCUAAUGCAGUGCUCAGUGUGACCAUUUUAACUCCUUAUUGUGAGCCUGAUUCCUGUUUACAAAGGAGGUUCUUGUCCCAGAAGUGUUAUCCACCCCUGUCCAUCUGCCCUAACAUAACUGCUCUGCAGAGGACUUCCUGAGAUUUGCCUUGGCAUGAAGGCCCACCCUGAGCAACUAGUGGAAACAGGAAGAAUCCAUUUCCACUGAUCUAUCCAUUUACCUCGGUGUAGAAAAAAGGAGUUAUAAAAUAUUGAUUCAGAGCUAGGAGGUUAGUUUGAGUUAGGUACUUUCUUGAAUUAAUCUGAUAGAGGCUGAUCAGUGUUAAAAAGUUUUUCAACCCUUGGGCUUCCCUGGUGGCGCAGUGGUUAAGAAUCCGCCUGCCAAUGCAGAGGACACGGGUUCGAGCCCUGGUCCAGGAAGACCCCACAUGCCGUAGAGCAACUAAGCCCGCACACCACAACUACUGAGCCUGCGCUCUAGAGCCCGAGAGCCACAACUAUUGAAGCCCACGUGCCUAGAGCCCGUGCUCUGCAACAAGAGAAGCCACCGCAGUGAGAAGCCCGCGCACCGCAACGAAGAGUAGUCCCCGCUCGCCACAACUAGAGAAAGCCCGCGCGCAGCAACAAAGACCCGAUGCAGCCAAAAAUAAAUAUGUUAAAAAAAAAAAAGUUUUUCAACCCUACUUUGGGGCUACUACAACAAUGACCGUAUAGUCCCCCUAAAUUGUGGUUUAUCUAUGUUUAGUUUGUAACAAGAGUUUUUUUCAUAUCAACAUGCCUUAUUGUUGAUGUCAGGUAGUCUUGAUUUAUGCCAACAUUU
This is an RNA transcript of Balaenoptera ricei (Rice's whale), 4689 nucleotides long. It is a transcript of the gene named TBC1 domain containing kinase, with no coding region annotated. Lineage: Eukaryota; Metazoa; Chordata; Mammalia; Artiodactyla; Balaenopteridae. The record is from RefSeq and is a predicted model, not a curated record. The transcript is spliced from 27 exons.